This 245-nucleotide ribosomal RNA is filed under the name uncultured bacterium. Its description in RNAcentral is "partial 16S ribosomal RNA". It matches the Rfam family "Bacterial small subunit ribosomal RNA", at positions 524 to 767 of the family's 1533-position model. The record is from RNAcentral.
UACGGAGGAUCCAAGCGUUAUCCGGAAUUACUGGGCGUAAAGAGUUGCGUAGGUGGCAGAGUAAGUCUGUAGUGAAAGCGUGCGGCUCAACCGCAUACACAUUACAGAAACUGCUCAGCUAGAGGACGAGAGAGGUUAUUAGAAUUCCUAGUGUAGCGGUGGAAUGCGUAGAUAUUAGGAGGAAUACCGAUGGCGUAGGCAGAUAACUGGCUCGUUCCUGACACUAAGGCACGAAAGCGUGGGUA